This 433-nucleotide ribosomal RNA is filed under the name uncultured bacterium. RNAcentral's name for it is "partial 16S ribosomal RNA". It matches the Rfam family "Bacterial small subunit ribosomal RNA", at positions 29 to 507 of the family's 1533-position model. The record is from RNAcentral.
AACGAACGCUGGCGGCAUGCCUAACACAUGCAAGUCGAACGAUACCUUCGGGUCUAGUGGCGCAAGGGUGCGUAACGCGUGGGAACCUGCCCUUAGGUUCGGAAUAACUCCCCGAAAGGGGUGCCAAUACCGGAUAAUGUCUUCGGACCAAAGAUUUAUCGCCUUUGGAUGGGCCCGCGUUGGAUUAGCUAGUUGGUAGGGUAAAAGCCUACCAAGGCGACGAUCCAUAGCUGGUCUGAGAGGAUGAUCAGCCACACUGGGACUGAGACACGGCCCAGACUCCUACGGGAGGCAGCAGUGGGGAAUAUUGGACAAUGGGCGAAAGCCUGAUCCAGCAAUGCCGCGUGAGUGAUGAAGGCCUUAGGGUUGUAAAGCUCUUUUACCCGGGAUGAUAAUGACAGUACCGGGAGAAUAAGCUCCGGCUAACUCCGUG